RNAcentral lists this ribosomal RNA (205 nucleotides) under uncultured bacterium. RNAcentral describes it as "partial 16S ribosomal RNA". It matches the Rfam family "Bacterial small subunit ribosomal RNA", at positions 568 to 774 of the family's 1533-position model. The record is from RNAcentral.
CGCGUAGGCGGGAUGGCAAGUCGGUCGUGAAAUCCCUCGGCUCAACCGAGAACGUCGAUCGAUACUGCUGUUCUUGAGGAUUGCAGAGGAGACUGGAAUUCCCGGUGUAGCGGUGAAAUGUGUAGAGAUCGGGAGGAACACCGGUGGCGAAGGCGGGUCUCUGGGCAAUUCCUGACGCUGAGGCGCGAAAGCGUGGGAGCAAACG